This 449-nucleotide ribosomal RNA is filed under the name uncultured bacterium. RNAcentral's name for it is "partial 16S ribosomal RNA". It matches the Rfam family "Bacterial small subunit ribosomal RNA", at positions 338 to 795 of the family's 1533-position model. The record is from RNAcentral.
CCUACGGGUGGCUGCAGUGGGGAAUUUUGGACAAUGGGGGAAACCCUGAUCAAGCCAUGCCGCGUGAGUGAAGAAGGCCUUCGGGUUGUAAAGCUCUUUCGUACGGAACGAAAUUGCCUGGACUAAUACUCUGGGUAGAUGACGGUACUGUAAGAAGAAGCACCGGCUAACUACGUGCCAGCAGCCGCGGUAAUACGUAGGGUGCGAGUGUUAAUCGGAAUUACGCAGGCGGUUGCCUAAGCAGGGCGUGAAAGCCCCGGGCUUAACCUGGGAAUUGCGCUUGGGACUGGGCGGCUAGAGUACGGCAGAGGGAGGUGGAAUUCCACGUGUAGCAGUGAAAUGCGUAGAGAUGUGGAGGAACACCGAUGGCGAAGGCAGCCUCCUGGGCCAGUACUGACGCUCAUGCACGAAAGCGUGGGGAGCAAACAGGAUUAGAUACCCGGGUAGUC